GUUAAUCCAGCUAUACCAUAUAUGUGCACACCAACAAGCAAUGUGAAGAAGGCUGUGUACGGUGUCCAGACUGUGACUGAUCGAUUCCCUGUUUUUACGCUGUAUGAUUUUCCCAUGAUAAUGACCCUAGAAUAAGCUUCUUUUUUUUCUGUAAACCCCUACCUGCUCUACUGAAAUUGAAAAACAAAACUGAUUUUUUUUUUUUUAAUGGCCUACAAUCUAAA
Molecule: non-coding RNA, 224 nt
Organism: Pelobates cultripes (western spadefoot toad)
Lineage: Eukaryota; Metazoa; Chordata; Amphibia; Anura; Pelobatidae
Source: the annotation of a GenBank genome assembly